Molecule: long non-coding RNA, 659 nt
Filed under: Vigna radiata
Lineage: Eukaryota; Viridiplantae; Streptophyta; Magnoliopsida; Fabales; Fabaceae
Description: long non-coding RNA (VRAD_LNC000590)
Source: RNAcentral
UCAAACUAAUUCCUUUGAUUAAACAGUUGCAGCAAUCACAAAGCCCAUGAGAAAAAGAAAAACCAUAACACUAAAUAUUAAAAUUCAAAGUAUGACAAAUUGUUCCUAUAGAUUUAAAGAUCCAAACCAUAAUUCAUUGUUAUUCACUCAUUAACUAUUUUAUGGGAGUACAUUAUGGUAUCCGAAAUUAAAAAUUCAAUAGAAUUUAUUAACAGUAUCUUAAGAAAAAUGUAGAGACAAAAANCAUACUUGGUAGUUGGGGCAUUCGUGCUAGAUGUGCUAUUGGAGGACUGUUGGAGGAUCGGAAACUAGGUUGGAAUUGGAUGUUGAUACAGUUGUAGCAGGACUACUGGCAGGUUGACAUANUUUCACCAUAAUUAAUACAAAUAAAGAAAACUAGAAAAGAAAGAAAACUUCCAAAAUUGAGCGAUUAAUUACAUACCUGAAUAGAUGGAGCUGCAGCAGGACAUUAUGCUUUACUCUGAAAAUAGAGAAUUAAAAUGGAAAAUUGUGGUACAAAAAAGGUAAAAUGUGCUUCUUACCAUAUAAAUGCUAAAGCUUAUUGAAAGAAAAAUGUCUUAAUUGAGUUUAUCGAAUUGAAACUACGUAAAAGAUACUAUAUGACAAGAUCUAAUAUAAUACCUCUUACAAUGUCAAAA